ACACGGACCAAGGAGUCUAACAUGUGCGCGAGUCAUGGGGUCGUGCUAAACCCAAAGGCGCAAUGAAAGUGAAGGCCGCCUCCGGCUGGCCUAGGUAGGAUCCGGCGAUCCGUCGCCGGCGCACUACCGGCCCGUUCCGACCGCCGCGUCGGUGGAGCGGAGCAAGAGCGUACACGUUGGGACCCGAAAGAUGGUGAACUAUGCCUGAGUAGGAUGAAGCCAGAGGAAACUCUGGUGGAGGUCCGUAGCGAUUCUGACGUGCAAAUCGAUCGUCAAACUUGGGUAUAGGGGCGAAAGACUAAUCGAACCGUCUAGUAGCUGGUUCCCUCCGAAGUUUCCCUCAGGAUAGCUGGCACUCGAACGCAGUUUUAUCCGGUAAAGCGAAUGAUUAGAGGCCUUGGGGACGAAACGACCUCAACCUAUUCUCAAACUUUAAAUGGGUAAGAAGUCCGACUCGCUCGAUCUAUAUUGGAGUCGGACGUGGAAUGCGAGUGCCCAGUGGGCCACUUUUGGUAAGCAGAACUGGCGCUGUGG
Molecule: ribosomal RNA, 534 nt
Filed under: Tindaria sp. MCZ DNA105565
Lineage: Eukaryota; Metazoa; Mollusca; Bivalvia; Nuculanida sp.; Tindariidae
Description: eukaryotic LSU rRNA
Rfam family: Eukaryotic large subunit ribosomal RNA
Source: RNAcentral